This 1651-nucleotide long non-coding RNA is filed under the name Bos indicus x Bos taurus (hybrid cattle). RNAcentral describes it as "lncRNA (ENSBIXG00005028666.1)". The record is from RNAcentral. Lineage: Eukaryota; Metazoa; Chordata; Mammalia; Artiodactyla; Bovidae.
GAUCUUUUUAAACAAAAAGAGGAACUGACAUCAGCUGGUUUUCUUUCCCUGUUCUCAUGCAGGAAAUGGAGCACCUCCUGGUGUUAGACGCAAAGUCGGCCAAUAUUUUGAGUCCUUGCGUGAAGAACACAAGGGAGUUGCUGGCCUCGGCGGCUCGUCCGGUCAACAUUUUGCUUUGUGGAAAGCUAGGGCUCCUACCACUGGACUCAGCUCAACCAGUGCUCAGUGGUCACACUCGGCGUGCUUAGCACUUCUAGAGGCAGCAGAAGAAAUAAACGUGAAGAUGACCUCGAUCUUCCUGAAGCAAGGAUUCAAGCCAAGCAGACCCUGACAGCGCCAGAAUCCAGGAGGCCGGCCUUGGCACCCCACCGUGCCCACUGGUUCCUCCCCAUCCCGCCUCUGCCCCCUUGGCACCUGCUUCUCUGCUGCUCGCUGAGGAUGGAUCCUCGGUCACUCCUGUUAUCCUGGGGAAGUGCAAGAGUUCAACUGAGUCCCUCCUCCCUACCCCCACCCGGAGCUGAGGCCUGGCUGUGCCUGCGAGGGGAAGGGCUUUCCACCUGGAGAGGAGAUCUGUGUGCACCCAGGACCAGUGUGUGCGUGCACAUGCACACACACAUACGCAUGUGUGCACAGAGUUUUAUAUCACUUUAGCACCAGCGUGUGCAUACACACACCCACACCACACACACACACGUGUGCACAGCGUUGUGUAUCACUUUAGCACCAGCGUGUGCGUGCACACACACACACGCACGCGUGCAGAGUUCUAUAUCACUCUGUCUGUGCUGAUGUCCCAAUUUCAUUUCCAGCCCUGACUACUCCUGGCCUCCAGUGCCAUCUGUGAGCCACAGGGAAGAGGCUGAAGUCAGAGCCAAGAUGGAUCUGACCCCGAAACUGGGAGCACGUCCAGGAGAGACGGCCGCACAGGCCUUGGGUGCUGGGGACUCAGGCAGCAGUGACAGGCAGGCAGGAUGCAGAAGCAGGCUGUUCUGACCCCGGCAGAUGCACGAGAGGGAGCCCCUCCUGGAAUUACACGUCCCCCAGUCCUGGUCCCCAGUGCCUGGAGAGCUGCCAUGCCUUGGGGGACACGGGCGGCUCAGGGGUAACGAUGUCCUGCAAGUUCAGGUGUCUGGUUACAGCCAUUCCUGCAGGGGUCUAAUUUUUUUUUCUUAUCUUGGUACAUAUUGAAACAAAAAGAAAAUGACCAGGGAAUGACUGAACCUGCUUCCGGGAGUGAAGACAGUGUGCACGUGACCUCAGAGCCCAGUAGCAAACGUGGGAAGCCCCCGCUGACCCUGAGGAUGGUGUGCAUGUGACCACGGAGCCCAGUAACAACAGGGCCUAGGGCGGCCUCCGAGCACAACAGGCAGGAAGGAGCGUUCUCAGGAGCUGCUCUUCUGCCCAUCCGAGUUUCUUCUCUGGUUAUAAGUGGCCACAUGGACACCAGUCAUUGACUCAUUAAGGGCCAGUACUCAGGGACGCCCAUGGAACCUGUCCAAGCAGCCCUGGCUGUGGACCUGUCUCUCUUGAGCGGUGAUGCAGACGGGAGGUCAGUGCCUCCCAGGCUGCCUGGGACUCUGGCCUCUGGCUCUCCUGUGCCGGAAUGAGCUGGAAUGAGCCAGAAUGACGUGGAAUGAGCUGGAAUGCCUCU